RNAcentral lists this long non-coding RNA (241 nucleotides) under Lathyrus oleraceus (garden pea). Its description in RNAcentral is "Pisum sativum (pea) long non-coding RNA (PSAT_LNC013528)". Lineage: Eukaryota; Viridiplantae; Streptophyta; Magnoliopsida; Fabales; Fabaceae. The record is from RNAcentral.
CAAGGCCCACAUCCUAGAAAAACUUAAUAUAUAAAAAUAAAAUAAAAAUAAAAUAAAAAAAUAAAAAGAUAGUGGAUAACGGUACUCCUUGAAGAAGAAGGAUAGGAUUUCAAAUUUCAAGGGGUCCACUCGUAUUGAGACACGUGGCCAGGGGAUAAACAUAAAGCAAAACCAAACUUUCUCUUUCACUACCUCACGUGAAAAACAGCAGGGCAAUGUUUCCUUUUAAGCAAAAACCCAA